GAGUUAUUUUUAUUAAGUUUUGAAAACUUUUUUUGGAUUUUUUAAUCUGUAACUUU
Molecule: transfer RNA, 56 nt
Filed under: Chandlerella quiscali
Lineage: Eukaryota; Metazoa; Nematoda; Chromadorea; Rhabditida; Onchocercidae
Description: tRNA-Ser
Source: RNAcentral